Molecule: small nuclear RNA, 132 nt
Filed under: Homarus americanus (American lobster)
Lineage: Eukaryota; Metazoa; Arthropoda; Malacostraca; Decapoda; Nephropidae
Description: U2 small nuclear RNA
Rfam family: U2 spliceosomal RNA
About the family: U2 is a small nuclear RNA (snRNA) component of the spliceosome (involved in pre-mRNA splicing). Complementary binding between U2 snRNA (in an area lying towards the 5' end but 3' to hairpin I) and the branchpoint sequence (BPS) of the intron results the bulging out of an unpaired adenosine, on the BPS, which initiates a nucleophilic attack at the intronic 5' splice site, thus starting the first of two transesterification reactions that mediate splicing.
Source: RNAcentral
GAUCAAAGUGUAGUAUCUGUUCUUAUCAGCUUAGUAUCUGAUACGAUCCCCAUGUGGGAUCUUCGAUAUUAAACUGAUUUUUGGAUCAUGGCGAAGUGCUAGGGGCUUGCUCCACCUUUGCCGCNGAUAGGC